This 468-nucleotide ribosomal RNA is filed under the name uncultured bacterium. RNAcentral's name for it is "partial 16S ribosomal RNA". It matches the Rfam family "Bacterial small subunit ribosomal RNA", at positions 28 to 507 of the family's 1533-position model. The record is from RNAcentral.
GACGAACGCUGGCGGCGUGCUUAACACAUGCAAGUCGAACGGAAAGGCCCUGCUUUUGUGGGGUGCUCGAGUGGCGAACGGGUGAGUAACACGUGAGUAACCUGCCCUUGACUUUGGGAUAACUUCAGGAAACUGGGGCUAAUACCGGAUAGGAGCUCCUGCUGCCUGGUGGGGGUUGGAAAGUUUCGGCGGUUGGGGAUGGACUCGCGGCUUAUCAGCUUGUUGGUGGGGUAGUGGCUUACCAAGGCUUUGACGGGUAGCCGGCCUGAGAGGGUGACCGGCCACAUUGGGACUGAGAUACGGCCCAGACUCCUACGGGAGGCAGCAGUGGGGAAUAUUGCACAAUGGGCGGAAGCCUGAUGCAGCAACGCCGCGUGCGGGAUGGCGGCCAUCGGGUUGUAAACCGCUUUCGCCUGGGACGAAGCGUGAGUGACGGUAAUGGGUAAAGAAGCACCGGCUAACUACGUG